RNAcentral lists this non-coding RNA (108 nucleotides) under Nomascus leucogenys (northern white-cheeked gibbon). Lineage: Eukaryota; Metazoa; Chordata; Mammalia; Primates; Hylobatidae. The record is from RNAcentral.
GGCUGGUCCGAAGGUAGGUAGGUAGCUCAAUUGACUGUUCCGUUCGUUACAGUUAGAACUCCUUGUUCUACUCUUUCCCCCUUCUCCUUAACGCAGUUGACGAGGAAA